Molecule: ribosomal RNA, 207 nt
Filed under: uncultured bacterium
Lineage: Bacteria
Description: partial 16S ribosomal RNA
Rfam family: Bacterial small subunit ribosomal RNA
Source: RNAcentral
CGCGUAGGCGGCCGGCCAAGUCAAGUGUGAAAUCCCUCGGCUCAACCGAGGAACUGCACUCGAUACUGGCUGGCUCGAGUCCGGGAGGGGAUGGUGGAAUUCCCAGUGUAGCGGUGAAAUGCGUAGAUAUUGGGAAGAACACCGGUGGCGAAGGCGACCAUCUGGACCGGAACUGACGCUGAGGCGCGAAAGCCAGGGGAGCGAAUG